AUUGAACGCUGGCGGCAGGCCUAACACAUGCAAGUCGAACGAGUGGCGGACGGGUGAGUAAUGUCUGGGAAACUGCCUGAUGGAGGGGGAUCACUACUGGAAACGGUAGCUAAUACCGCAUAACAUCAGAUGUGCCCAGAUGGGAUUAGCUAGUUGGUGGGGUAACGGAUCACUAAGGCGACGCUCCCUAGCUGGUCUGAGAUGAUGCCCAGCCACGCUGGAACUGAGACACUGUCCAGAUUCCUACGUGAGGCAGCAGUGGGGAAUAUUGCACAAUGGGCGCAAGCCUGAUGCAGCCAUGCCUCGUGUAUGAAGAAGGCCUUCGGGUUGUAACGUACUUUCAGCGGGGAGGCGUUACCCACAGAAGAAGCACCGGCUAACUCCGUGCCAGCCGCCGCGGUAAUAC
This 406-nucleotide ribosomal RNA is filed under the name uncultured bacterium. RNAcentral describes it as "partial 16S ribosomal RNA". It matches the Rfam family "Bacterial small subunit ribosomal RNA", at positions 30 to 526 of the family's 1533-position model. The record is from RNAcentral.